This 1381-nucleotide ribosomal RNA is filed under the name uncultured bacterium. Its description in RNAcentral is "16S ribosomal RNA". It matches the Rfam family "Bacterial small subunit ribosomal RNA". The record is from RNAcentral.
UUCGCCCUUAGAGUUUGAUCCUGGCUCAGGAUGAACGCUGGCGGCGUGCUUAACACAUGCAAGUCGAACGAUUGAAGCUGGAGCUUGCUCCGGCCGAUUUAGUGGCGGACGGGUGAGUAACGCGUGGGUAACCUGCCUCAUACAGGGGGAUAGCAGUUGGAAACGACUGGUAAAACCGCAUAAGCGCACGGUGUCGCAUGACACAGUGUGAAAACACUCCGGUGGUAUGAGAUGGACCCGCGUCUGAUUAGCUAGUUGGUGAGGUAACGGCCCACCAAGGCGACGAUCGGUAGCCGGACUGAGAGGUUGAACGGCCACAUUGGGACUGAGACACGGCCCAGACUCCUACGGGAGGCAGCAGUGGGGAAUAUUGCACAAUGGGGGAAACCCUGAUGCAGCGACGCCGCGUGGAGGAAGAAGGUCUUCGGAUUGUAAACUCCUGUUGUUGAGGAAGAUAAUGACGGUACUCAACAAGGAAGUGACGGCUAACUACGUGCCAGCAGCCGCGGUAAAACGUAGGUCACAAGCGUUGUCCGGAAUUACUGGGUGUAAAGGGAGCGCAGGCGGGAAGGCAAGUUGGAAGUGAAAUCCAUGGGCUCAACCCAUGAACUGCUUUCAAAACUGUUUUUCUUGAGUAGUGCAGAGGUAGGCGGAAUUCCCGGUGUAGCGGUGGAAUGCGUAGAUAUCGGGAGGAACACCAGUGGCGAAGGCGGCCUACUGGGCACCAACUGACGCUGAGGCUCGAAAGUGUGGGUAGCAAACCAGGAUUAGAUACCCUGGUAGUCCACACUGUAAACGAUGAUUACUAGGUGUUGGAGGAUUGACCCCUUCAGUGCCGCAGUUAACACAAUAAGUAAUCCACCUGGGGAGUACGACCGCAAGGUUGAAACUCAAAGGAAUUGACGGGGGCCCGCACAAGCAGUGGAGUAUGUGGUUUAAUUCGACGCAACGCGAAGAACCUUACCAAGUCUUGACAUCCUGCGACGCACAUAGAAAUAUGUGUUUCCUUCGGGACGCAGAGACAGGUGGUGCAUGGUUGUCGUCAGCUCGUGUCGUGAGAUGUUGGGUUAAGUCCCGCAACGAGCGCAACCCUUAUGGUCAGUUACUACGCAAGAGGACUCUGGCCAGACUGCCGUUGACAAAACGGAGGAAGGUGGGGAUGACGUCAAAUCAUCAUGCCCUUUAUGACUUGGGCUACACACGUACUACAAUGGCGUUAAACAAAGAGAAGCAAGACCGCGAGGUGGAGCAAAACUCAGAAACAACGUCCCAGUUCGGACAGCAGGCUGCAACUCGCCUGCACGAAGUCGGAAUUGCUAGUAAUCGCAGAUCAGCAUGCUGCGGUGAAUACAAACCCGGGCCUUGUACACACCGCCCGUCA